Molecule: ribosomal RNA, 458 nt
Filed under: Myriophora sp. H7
Lineage: Eukaryota; Metazoa; Arthropoda; Insecta; Diptera; Phoridae
Description: partial 16S ribosomal RNA
Source: RNAcentral
AGUCUAGCCUGCCCACUGAAUUUUUUUAAAUGGCCGCAGUAUCCUAACUGUGCAAAGGUAGCAUAAUCAUUAGUCUUUUAAUUGAAGGCUGGAAUGAAUGGUUGGAUGAAAUAUUAACUGUUUCAUAAAAAUUUAUAAUAGAAUUUUAUUUUUUAGUCAAAAAGCUAAAAUAUUCUUAAAAGACGAGAAGACCCUAUAAAUCUUUAUAUUUAGAAAAUUACAAUUAUUUAGAUAACUUUAAUUUUACUUUUUUUAAAUAUUUUAUUGGGGUGAUAUUAAAAUUUAAUAAACUUUUAAUUUAUUUUAAACAUAAAUUAAUGAAUUAUUGAUCCAUAAAUUAUGAUUAAAAAAUUAAGUUACUUUAGGGAUAACAGCGUAAUUUUUUUAGAGAGUUCAUAUUGAUAAAAAAGAUUGCGACCUCGAUGUUGGAUUAAGAUACAGUUUUAGGUGCAGCAGCU